Long non-coding RNA from Oncorhynchus masou masou (cherry salmon), 224 nucleotides. RefSeq lists it as uncharacterized. The transcript is spliced from 3 exons. The record is from RefSeq and is a predicted model, not a curated record. NCBI's taxonomy places the organism in Eukaryota, Metazoa, Chordata, Actinopteri, Salmoniformes, Salmonidae.
UCUCUGGAUUCCAGAAGGCAUGAGGACCCAGAUGCUAUACAGUGGGAAAACCAGCCUGGCAACAUAAGCUCACAAGCUAUCAGAAAGUUGUAUGGCAACCACCUCCGGCGCCAAAUAGAACUGGCAGACAUAGACAUUCAGUACAAGAAGAAAAAGAUGGAAAAUCUUGCACUGGAGUCCGAAAUAAAAAAGAGGACAAUUAGGAAACUGGACCUUGAAAUAAA